Molecule: non-coding RNA, 953 nt
Organism: Zootermopsis nevadensis
Lineage: Eukaryota; Metazoa; Arthropoda; Insecta; Blattodea; Termopsidae
Source: RefSeq, a predicted model, not a curated record
CGAAGGCAUGGCAAGUUCUUCUCGUUCUACGAUUGGCUAAGCUGUGAAAAUCGUCUCAACAAGAAACUGUUAUGCAACAGUUUCACGAUGCGAUGCGCCUUUCUGUACAAACCAGAACACAUCUCGCUUACGACAGUAUAAGCAGAAGCGCUCGGCGCCUUAGUAGUGGCAGGACUCCAACAGUAGAUCUCCACAAUUCACGCAGUGUCUUCGUUGACGACUGAAUCCAACCGGUUGAGAUUUACAAGGCCAGACGUGACGUACGCUGUCAGGCAUAAGAAAACCAUACCCUUGCUCCAGAAAUUCUUCAUAAAUACCUGGGACAUCGGACUUCGUCGAGCAAUUCGGCAUUACAGCUCUAUAGGUCUAGGUGGAUGAACGGAAGGGGACGAACUGUCAAGAUGUCAACUCUAACGUACUUACUCGAGGGAAAUCACAAGCUCGUCAGAGGACCAGAAAUAGAUAAAAUGGUCAACGAUUGGUUCUUGAUGAGCAAUCCAGCCACCAUGUUGUUUAUCGUGGCCUGUUAUCUGUUGUUCGUCCUAAAGGUAGGGCCCAAACUGAUGGCCUCACGCAAGCCCUUCAACCUGCAAGUGCUUAUGGUGGUCUACAACUUCGCAAUGGUUCUCGUAAGCCUAUACAUUUCUCUGCUGGUGAGUCCUGUACAACAGUUAUGGACCAUUGUGUCUUUCUGCGUCUUUCGCGAAAUAUUUUGCAUGCGAUAUGCAAAAUAAACUCACAAGAAAACAAGCAACACAUCCCAAGAGUUGGUUUUAACCCUCUAAAACCGAAAGAGAGAGAGAGAGAGAGAAGAGAAAGUGAGGGGGUAGCGAUGGCCAAUAUUAUUUUACCUGGGGGGGGGGGGGAUUUUUUAUUUACGGCUGCCAAGAUACCCAGGCAUUGCCCGCUCGUCCUUCUGGUAGAAAUAGGUUCAGUGAGGGCAAAGCACUUGG